Molecule: ribosomal RNA, 450 nt
Filed under: uncultured bacterium
Lineage: Bacteria
Description: partial 16S ribosomal RNA
Rfam family: Bacterial small subunit ribosomal RNA
Source: RNAcentral
CCUACGGGUGGCUGCAGUGGGGAAUAUUGGACAAUGGGCGCAAGCCUGAUCCAGCAAUGCCGCGUGUGUGAAGAAGGCCUGCGGGUUGUAAAGCACUUUCAGUGGGGAGGAAGGCCUCGAUAUUAAUACUAUUGAGGAUUGACGUUACCCACAGAAGAAGCACCGGCUAACUCUGUGCCAGCAGCCGCGGUAAUACAGAGGGUGCAAGCGUUAAUCGGAAGGAGUGGGCGUAAUGGGUGCGGUCAGAUGUGAAAGCCCCGGGCUCAACCUGGGAAUUGCAUUUGAUACUGAGUAACUUGAGUAUGGUAGAGGGAAGUGGAAUUUCCAGUGUAGCGGUGAAAUGCGUAGAUAUUGGAAGGAACAUCAGUGGCGAAGGCGACUUCCUGGACCAUUACUGACACUGAGGCACGAAAGCGUGGGGAGCGAACAGGAUUAGAUACCCCAGUAGUC